Corythoichthys intestinalis (scribbled pipefish) is the source of this 6008-nucleotide RNA transcript. It is a transcript of the gene named capping protein, Arp2/3 and myosin-I linker protein 3-like, with no coding region annotated. The record is from RefSeq and is a predicted model, not a curated record. The transcript has 42 exons. NCBI's taxonomy places the organism in Eukaryota, Metazoa, Chordata, Actinopteri, Syngnathiformes, Syngnathidae.
CCAGCCUCCUGUAAUCCAUAGGUUUUCUUCCGGGAAGCUCGGACGCGCUACAGGAAUGCUUGCAAGAGUGACCAUUGUUUUUAUCCGUGACUGAGGAAGAAUAACAAGAGAGCGGCCGUCAGAGGCAGAAAACGAAGGUGCAGGGAGGGGGCCAGCUGCUGCAGCCAUGGCCGCGAAGGAGAUCACCGUUUUCGGCUUCGCAAGUGUGAACAAGGACAUCACAGAAAGUAUCAGGAAGAUCAUUGAGAAAUCUUCCAUCAAAUUUAUUUGCGGAAUUAAGCUCGACACCAAGAGUGGUAAAACAGAAGACCGAAUCCUGGUGCUGGCGACAUGGCGUCUCUACUUUCUAGCGCCCAAGAUUCCUGCCAAGGUUGAAUCCACUUUUAACUUCUUGGAAAUCCGAGCUUUGAAUUCACACCCGGAUCACCAGGUCAUUAUCGACACUGACAAGUCCACCUGUUGCCUGAGGUUUGAGUCACGUGAUCACCUCAACCAUGUCGUCAGCCACAUCAACUACGCACUGUCGCGGAUAUUCAGCAACUCUGUGUUUGCCCCGUCUAUCUGUCACUCGGACAGUGAUCUCUCCGAUGGCAGCAGAAAGUAUUCCCCCAGCUCAGAGACGUCAGUGGAAACCCAGCGGGCGUGCGGAGGCUUUUCAGAAACCUAUGCCGCGCUGUGCGACUAUAAUGGCAUCAGCUGCAAGGAGGAAGUGCAGUGGGACGUGGACACCAUUUACCACUCCCAGGACAAUCGUGAGUUUAACCUGCUAGAUUUCAGCCACUUGGAAAGCAGGGAUCUGGCGGUUAUUGUCGCGUCGGUAGCGUACAACACGUGGUUCACUAAGCUCUACUGCAAAGACCUGCGCUUGGGAUCAGAGGUGACAGAGCAGGUCCUGCACACGGUCAGCAAAUCAUCCAGCUUGGAGGAGAUCACGCUGGAGAAUGCUGGGUUGAAAUCAGACUUCCCACAGAAGAUGUCGGUCGCUCUCUCAGAGAAUCCCGCCGCUGUCAUCCACUCACUCAACCUGGCCCACAACUCUCUGGACAACCAAGGCGUCGCCAACCUAAUCCAGCAGAUGUGUCGUCUCAGCAAGGGUCUGCGACAUCUCAACCUCUCCAAGACUUCUCUCACCUCCAAAGGUGUGGUAUCACUUUCAAUGGCACUGAACUCUAGUGACGAGUACUCCAACUCGCUCCUGCACCUAGACCUGAGCAAGAACCCCGGUGUCCUGUCUGGCGAUGACGCCUCGAGCUUCUAUCUCUUCUUGUCUCAGCCCAACUGCCUGGUGCAUUUGGACCUAUCGGGCACAGAUUGCUCUGUGGACUCACUAUUUGGUGCUCUGCUGAGGGGCUGUUGCGCAGACCUCUCCUUUCUGAAUCUUUCCAAAAAUUCCUUCUCCCACAGAAAAGGGAAGGACACGCUACCGUUGUUCCGGCAGUUCUUCAGCUCCGCCUUCAGCCUGACCCACGUCAGCCUGGCUGCCAUGAAACUACCCCCUGAGGUCCUUAGGGCUCUCCUCGCAGGCUUAACCUCUAACCCUCACAUUAACGACCUUCACCUGGACAUCAGUGGCUGUGAGCUUCGAUGUGCAGGAGCUGCCGUCCUUCAAGAGCUCUUCCCCAGAGUCUCUUCCAUCGCUACUCUAGACAUAUCAGACAACGGUUUGGAUGCAGACUUGCUCACGGUGCUGCCCGCCCUCUCCAGACACCCCUCGCUGAAACACCUUCAUCUCGGCAAGAAUUUCAACAUCAAAAACAGGGUUCUUGACGAAGUCCUGCAGAAGUUGGUGCAGCUCAUUCAAGAAGAAGAAUGUGCCCUACAGACACUGUCGCUGACCGACUCACGCCUCCGUUCCCGGGGUACGGUGUUGGUCAACGCCCUAGGGAGCAACACCUGCCUGAGGAAAGUGGACCUCAGCGGCAACAACAUGGACGACAUUGGAGCCAAGAUGCUGAGCAAAGCCCUGCAAAUCAACACCACGCUUCGGAGCGUGACAUGGGAUCGCAACAACACCUCCGCAGCAGGAUUUCUCGAUGUGGCCAGAGCACUCGAACAUAAUUUCACCCUGCAGUAUAUGCCUCUACCCCUGAGCGACAUCAGCCAGGCGUACCGCAGCGCCCCUGAGAGGACCGAGCAGGCAUUGACCAAGAUCCAACGGGCCCUGGUGAGGAAUAACCAGACUCAGCGCUUCUCCCAGCGUCAGGCUCUAAGGCUGCACCAAGGCCUAGUCACCAGCACGGCUGAGCAGGUAAUGGAGCGUCUGUGCGCACGCGUCCAGCAGCAGGUGUGCAUGCUACGAGGCGUAGGAGAGGCAGAUGACAUUCAAGCUGCCAAACAAGUACUGAAGGAGGCUCGAAAUUCCCGCGCGCUUUAUCCCUCCCUGUGCGAACUGGCCCACGUGCUCUCCGUGGACGGGCCAGUACGCCAGCGUCUGGACUCGCUCGCUGGUGAACUCGCCAAAGCCGCUGACAAAGAGCUUCAGGUGAUCGUCGAUUCAAUGGUGUCCCUCUGCCGCGAACUCUGCCCCCUGUCGUCUACGGCGGCAGAGCAGCUGACGCCACCGCUCUCGUCUGUCUCCGAGCAUGUGUCCGUUCCUCGCACCGCCAUUCGCUCUGCUCUGAUGGAAAGAGCAGCGCAAGACGUCCAUCGUGCCUUAGAAGAGGUCAAACUGUCUGUGGUCUCCUAUCUCACCAACUCUAUCGUGGACCAAAUCCUUCAGGAGCUCUACACCACCCACAAGACGCUGACCCGGCAGGUGUCUCAUCUAAAACGCUGGGAUGGGUCUUGCGAAGAUGGUACAGGCUGGAGGUUCAACCGACACCGGGACUCUCUAGAUAUCACUGAGGAGGAGCUCGGCACCUGUAUAGAUACAAUAGCCAUUAAGAAGCGCAGUUCAAGAACAAGACGAAUACGACCUGUCUCCACCAGGCUGAGUCUCUGCGACGACUCCAGCUCCUCACCGCCCCCAUCCAUCCCUUCCUACUCCACACCUCUGUCGCGCUCGGUCUCCUGGGAGGGUCUGUCUGAGUUACCCACACAGGGUCUGCCCCUCCACCACGUCACCAGGGUCCGCCCGAGACCUCCGCGCAGGCACAGAGGAGGAUAUCAACCAGCAGAGACACAGUGUAGUGAAAAUGGAGGAAUAAGCCCUCUGGAUGAUGGACUGCCAGAUUUCUAUACUAAAAGAGUCCUUCCCGAUAGUCAGCUCUCCUCCCUGCACACCACUCACUCACUGAGGAGGAAGAAGCGGAGAAAUGUACUGGCCAUCUUUGGGUUCCGCAGAAACCGCAACCAGACGCUGUCCAACCAGGAGUCGGACGCUGAAUUUUAUGGCGAUCAUGCUGUUGCUACAGCACCCUCGGGGAUAGCCACAGAGAACGUGUACACGCUCCUCCAACCUCCGAGGUCUGCUGCUAGGGUGGAGUCUCCUGGGGACGGACCAGAUGGAAAGAACACUCUGGUUCUGAGUCCCCCGCCGCCAGUGCCAGGCAUUCCUCAUUCAGGCAUUGGAGGAAACAAGCACCCCUUUUACUCACCCACUGAGGACAUGGUGCCCGCCGAGCAUCAGCCUACGGAGGCCGACAAGUACUGGGCAGAUGACAAGCAGAGGACCAGUGAGGUGUUGCUAGCCGAGGAUAUGUGGAUAGAAGGUAGGCCGGGCGAGCGCCACGUUGAGAGACGGCGCUCAGACGAGAAGCUGGGAGAAGCCUGGACCACUGAUAGACAAAUGGACAGACAGUGGACCGCUGAGAGACACACACAGUGGCAGAUCGACAGGAAGAUGGAGAGACAGCGGUUGGGCGGCAGACAGAUAGACCGCUCGUGGUCAGAGAGUAAGCAGACGGACUUACAGCUGGACUCCCAGUGGACGGACAGGACCACGUGGAAGACAGAUAGACAAGUCCAGGGUCUUUAUUUCGGGCAAAGGCCGUUGCCGCCUUACCCUUUGGACAGGACGCCCUCGCCCAAACAGGAAAUGAGCAUGGAAGCGGACACACAAGGGGAAAGACGUGUCAGUCCAGAUGCUUGCAUAGAAGGGUGGAGGAGUGGUUAUGCCGGACGUCCGGGCUCCUGCGUGGCGAAACCCGAGCCUCCGCCGCAAAGUAGCAAACCUAACUUGUCCAAACUGAGGCAAAGGCAUCGACUGGAAAGCUCGGAAACGCUGCCUGAGGAAGAUGACAAUGGCGAAAGGAUGGAAAAGAAAGAUCGGGAGAAAAGAAGAGAUCUGGAGUCUCAACCUCCACCAAUUCCUGAAAAGCCGAGGACAACGUCGUACGUGAGUUUCCCGAAAGAACCGCCUCCGGAGAGAAGUCUGCCCCCUCCACCCUUGCCCCCUCCCUUCAGCAGGCACGGGCUGCCAGACAGAGCCGCCAGUCAAGGCGAUGAAGGAUCGAGGCCUCAAGCACCCAUAAAGCCCCAAAGGAACCGGAAAGCCAUGUCUUGUGACGCAGGCACGGACAGGGACAGCCCCAAUAGCAUUGAGAAGCUCCCAAAUCGCAAACCCCCUGAGAAAAAGCCUAGGCUGCCCCAAAACAGAAAUAAGUCGUUGGACUUGUCUGACAGCUUCAACGCAGUACCUGGUCACAGCGAGUUGGUGUGAGGAUGUCCCAGAAGGGCGGAUAACACACACAUAUGUUUCACUCUUUGAACAUUGCUCCCCUCAUACCCUUAUCAUCAGCCCUCAUCUUACUCGUGGCUUGUAAAAUGUUUUUUUAGUAAUAUUAUUAGAAUGUGAUUUCUACAACUGGAGUGCCCGCUGACACAACCGACUGCCUUGAACAUGACUUGCUUCUUGGGGAUUUAUAUCUGAAAGUUGUAUCCAUUCAUCCAGCAAGUGGAACAUCAGCAACAUGGCUGUUUCAUCUAUCAAAGGUGCAUCCUGGAGUUGAGAAUCAAAGCACCGUACACCGGAACUGCGUUCCGGCCCUAAAUCUUAAACUGGAACUGCGUUCCUGACCGUUCCCGCCCACUUUCACCCCUGCAUAUGACCUUACUUUGGUAAACUUUAACAUUAGUGAGAACUGACUUGAUCUUCCGGUUGAGGCAGAAGAAACAGCUCAAUGUCCUUUGAAAUUUAACAAAAAUGGUGGCUUAUUUCUUCAAUUUGUAUUCAAUUUUUAAUAGGUGUAUGGUUUUGUAAUGUAGAAAGUAAUACUGUUCAAAUAAAUCUUGCAUAUUGUGUUGUCGAGAUCAAGCUAGCUAGCACCUUAAUGCUGCACAUAAAACAACAACGGCAUGUCCUUUUUACCCUAGACUCUGUUACUUUAAAGUGCAAAUUGCCCCAUUAUCGGUCAUUAGUCAACAAGCAUUAACAGCAAAGAGGCGCUAAACGUCCAUUUUGUGUCUAAUGACUCAACCUCUCACACGCGUGUACUGAAGAAAGCGCGGUGCUUUGAUUUUCGCCACCACAGGUGGAUGCUAUUAAUACGGCUCAGAACUAAUGUCAAUCCUCCCACCCCUUUAUGCGUUGGCAUAGCAACGACAUUUCCCGCCACAAACCCGGGAAUAUGGAACAGUAGGGGGCGACUAAUCGCUACAAAUAGACAGAGGCAGGCACUGGACACACAUACACACACAACUGCAGCCUUCCAGGUUGUCAUUAGCAACCGUUGCCCUGACCUUCUCUCCAUUUCUGCUGUAAUGAGUCAGAAACAAGCCUGAAAACACAGACAGAAACAUAAAGCCCGUUUAAAGUCAUAGUUGCAAUUUGACUUUACACAUCAUGUCCAAUCAUGUCACGACAAAGUAGAUUUUUACACUUUGAUUAGGGUUACAAAUGAGUUUUCAAAAUUAGGUUUCCCCGAUACAGUUAGGGUUUUUAUCAUUUCAGUGACAAUGACGAUGACAGCUGUCCAAUCAGAAGCCUGCAAACUGUGGCCCUAAAGCCGCAUGUGGCUCUUUUCGUGCUUCUACUGUGAAAUUAGUUUGACUAUUAGACGUGAACAAAUAGUCACUACCAACCCUCCCAGUACAAAUGGAUUGGACAUCUACAGGGUGUCCAUAAAGUC